This 1346-nucleotide ribosomal RNA is filed under the name uncultured bacterium. RNAcentral describes it as "partial 16S ribosomal RNA". It matches the Rfam family "Bacterial small subunit ribosomal RNA", at positions 28 to 1381 of the family's 1533-position model. The record is from RNAcentral.
GACGAACGUUGGCGGCGUGCUUAACACAUGCAAGUCGAACGGAAAGGCCCUGCUUUUGUGGGGUGCUCGAGUGGCGAGCGGGUGAGUAACACGUGAGUAACCUGCCCUUGACUUUGGGAUAACUUCAGGAAACUGGGGCUAAUACCGGAUAGGAGCUCCUGCUGCAUGGUGGGGGUUGGAAAGUUUCGGCGGUUGGGGAUGGACUCGCGGCUUAUCAGCUUGUUGGUGGGGUAGUGGCUUACCAAGGCUUUGACGGGUAGCCGGCCUGAGAGGGUGACCGGCCACAUUGGGACUGAGAUACGGCCCAGACUCCUACGGGAGGCAGCAGUGGGGAAUAUUGCACAAUGGGCGGAAGCCUGAUGCAGCAACGCCGCGUGCGGGAUGACGGCCUUCGGGUUGUAAACCGCUUUCGCCUGUGACGAAGCGUGAGUGACGGUAAUGGGUAAAGAAGCACCGGCUAACUACGUGCCAGCAGCCGCGGUGAUACGUAGGGUGCGAGCGUUGUCCGGAUUUAUUGGGCGUAAAGGGCUCGUAGGUGGUUGAUCGCGUCGGAAGUGUAAUCUUGGGGCUUAACCCUGAGCGUGCUUUCGAUACGGGUUGACUUGAGGAAGGUAGGGGAGAAUGGAAUUCCUGGUGGAGCGGUGGAAUGCGCAGAUAUCAGGAGGAACACCAGUGGCGAAGGCGGUUCUCUGGGCCUUUCCUGACGCUGAGGAGCGAAAGCGUGGGGAGCGAACAGGCUUAGAUACCCUGGUAGUCCACGCUGUAAACGGUGGGUACUAGGUGUGGGGUCCAUUCCACGGGUUCCGUGCCGUAGCUAACGCUUUAAGUACCCCGCCUGGGGAGUACGGCCGCAAGGCUAAAACUCAAAGGAAUUGACGGGGCCCCGCACAAGCGGCGGAGCAUGCGGAUUAAUUCGAUGCAACGCGUAGAACCUUACCUGGGUUUGACAUGGAUCGGGAGUGCUCAGAGAUGGGUGUGCCUCUUUUGGGGUCGGUUCACAGGUGGUGCAUGCCUGUCGUCAGCUCGUGUCGUGAGAUGUUGGGUUAAGUCCCGCAACGAGCGCAACCCUUGUUCACUGUUGCCAGCACGUUAUGGUGGGGACUCAGUGGAGACCGCCGGGGUCAACUCGGAGGAAGGUGGGGAUGACGUCAAGUCAUCAUGCCCCUUAUGUCCAGGGCUUCACGCAUGCUACAAUGGCUGGUACAGAGAGUGGCGAGCCUGUGAGGGUGAGCGAAUCUCGGAAAGCCGGUCUCAGUUCGGAUUGGGGUCUGCAACUCGACCUCAUGAAGUCGGAGUCGCUAGUAAUCGCAGAUCAGCAACGCUGCGGUGAAUACGUUCCCGGGGCU